This 816-nucleotide ribosomal RNA is filed under the name Frankliniella occidentalis (western flower thrips). Its description in RNAcentral is "eukaryotic LSU rRNA". It matches the Rfam family "Eukaryotic large subunit ribosomal RNA", at positions 1 to 620 of the family's 3401-position model. The record is from RNAcentral. Lineage: Eukaryota; Metazoa; Arthropoda; Insecta; Thysanoptera; Thripidae.
GACCUCAGUUCAGGUGAGAUUACCGGCUGAAUUUAAGCAUAUUACUAAGCCGAGGAAAAGAAACUAACAAGGAUUCCCCUAGUAGCAGCGAGCGAACAGGGAAGAGCCCAGCGCUGAAUCCCCCGGGCCUCGCUCGGCGGGAAAUGUAGCGUUUGGGAGGGCCCGUCAACACGGCGACUCGCUCACUGGUUCAAGUCCAACUUGAAUGGGGCCACACAGAGGGUGACAGGCCCGUAGAGCAGGAGCGGUUGUCGUGUGGGUCUCUCCUUAGAGUCGGUUUGCUUGAGAGUGCAGACUUAAGUGGGUGGUAAACUCCAUCUAAGGCUAAAUAUGACCACGAGACCGAUAGCACACAAGUACCGUGAGGGAAAGGUGAAAAGAACUUUGAAGAGAGAGUUCAAGAGUACGUGAAACUGAAGUGGUGUAAACGGACGAGUUCGAAAAGUCCGAAUGGUGAGAUUCAAGCUUACCGUGCCGGUGGCCCUCGGGUUCAGAUGGCGUCGUCAGCUCGGGCUUCGGUUCGGGUCAUACGGCGUCACUCGUCCUGGGGGUAUCUGUCUGGUGCGGUGGGCUGCACUUCUCGCCUAGUAGGACGUCGCGACCCGUUGGGAUGUUCCGUUCACUGGCCCCUGGUGGAGCCCGCGCCGGAGCGUGGCCUUGUGCCGCGUUGCUGUUUGCACGGACCCGGGGUGACCUGAUCGGCGCCCGACGGUAUCAAAGCUUGGGAAGAGGCCGCACAGAGGAUGCGUUCGAUGGCCGUUUCGGCCUACACUCGGACAGGCCUGCACCCGGUCAGCGGCGCUUCUGCUUUCGAUA